AGAGUUUGAUCCUGGCUCAGAUUGAACGCUGGCGGCAGGCCUAACACAUGCAAGUCGAGCGGUAACAGAAGGUAGCUUGCUACUUUGCUGACGAGCGGCGGACGGGUGAGUAAUGCUUGGGAACAUGCCUUGAGGUGGGGGACAACAGUUGGAAACGACUGCUAAUACCGCANAAUGUCUACGGACCAAAGGGGGCUUCGGCUCUCGCCUUUAGAUUGGCCCAAGUGGGAUUAGCUAGUUGGUGAGGUAAUGGCUCACCAAGGCGACGAUCCCUAGCUGGUUUGAGAGGAUGAUCAGCCACACUGGGACUGAGACACGGCCCAGACUCCUACGGGAGGCAGCAGUGGGGAAUAUUGCACAAUGGGCGCAAGCCUGAUGCAGCCAUGCCGCGUGUGUGAAGAAGGCCUUCGGGUUGUAAAGCACUUUCAGUCAGGAGGAAAGGUUAGUAGUUAAUACCUGCUAGCUGUGACGUUACUGACAGAAGAAGCACCGGCUAACUCCGUGCCAGCAGCCGCGGUAAUACGGAGGGUGCGAGCGUUAAUCGGAAUUACUGGGCGUAAAGCGUACGCAGGCGGUUUGUUAAGCGAGAUGUGAAAGCCCCGGGCUCAACCUGGGAACUGCAUUUCGAACUGGCAAACUAGAGUGUGAUAGAGGGUGGUAGAAUUUCAGGUGUAGCGGUGAAAUGCGUAGAGAUCUGAAGGAAUACCGAUGGCGAAGGCAGCCACCUGGGUCAACACUGACGCUCAUGUACGAAAG
This 756-nucleotide ribosomal RNA is filed under the name bacterium 4881K6-B6. Its description in RNAcentral is "bacterial SSU rRNA". It matches the Rfam family "Bacterial small subunit ribosomal RNA", at positions 8 to 759 of the family's 1533-position model. The record is from RNAcentral.